GAAUUGCCUUUGAUACUGUUAUUCUUGAGUGUAGUUGAAGUGGGCGGAAUAUAGCAUGUAGCGGUGAAAUGCAUAGAUAUGCUAUAGAACACCAAUUGCGAAGGCAGCUCGCUAAACUAUAACUGACGCUGAGGCACGAAAGCGUGGGGAGCGAACAGGAUUAGAUACCCUGGUAGUCCACGCCGUAAACGAUGAACACUCGCUGUUGGCGAUACACAGUCAGCGGCUUAGCGAAAGCGUUACGUGUUCCACCUGGGAAUUACGAUCGCAAGGUUGAAACUCAAAGGAAUUGACGGGGGCCCGCACAAGCGGAGGAGCAUGUGGUUUAAUUCGAUGAUACGCGAGGAACCUUACCUGGGCUUAAAUGCAUAUUGACGUACUGAGAAAUCA
This 390-nucleotide ribosomal RNA is filed under the name uncultured bacterium. Its description in RNAcentral is "bacterial SSU rRNA". It matches the Rfam family "Bacterial small subunit ribosomal RNA", at positions 618 to 1009 of the family's 1533-position model. The record is from RNAcentral.